This 399-nucleotide ribosomal RNA is filed under the name uncultured bacterium. Its description in RNAcentral is "bacterial SSU rRNA". It matches the Rfam family "Bacterial small subunit ribosomal RNA", at positions 30 to 426 of the family's 1533-position model. The record is from RNAcentral.
AUUGAACGCUAGCGGCAUGCUUAACACAUGCAAGUCGAACGGUAACAGGCCUAGCUUGCUAGGUGCUGACGAGUGGCGGACGGGUGAGUAACGCGUAGGAAUCUACCUUGUAGAGGGGAAUAACUUGGGGAAACUCAAGCUAAUACCGCAUAAGCCCUAAGGGGGAAAGCAGGGGACCGAAAGGCCUUGUGCUAUGAGAUGAGCCUGCGUCAGAUUAGCUAGUUGGUGGGGUAAAGGCCUACCAAGGCGACGAUCUGUAGCUGGUCUGAGAGGACGACCAGCCACACUGGGACUGAGACACGGCCCAGACUCCUACGGGAGGCAGCAGUGGGGAAUAUUGGACAAUGGGCGCAAGCCUGAUCCAGCCACGCCGCGUGAGUGAUGAAGGCCUUCGGUCGU